Molecule: ribosomal RNA, 266 nt
Filed under: uncultured bacterium
Lineage: Bacteria
Description: partial small subunit ribosomal RNA
Rfam family: Bacterial small subunit ribosomal RNA
Source: RNAcentral
AGGACGAACGCUGGCGGUGUGCUUAACACAUGCAAGUGGAGCGACGAACCAGGGCUUGCCCUGGGGCAGAGCCGCGAACGGGUGAGUAACACGUGGGUAACCUACCCCGAUGACUGGGACAACCCGAGGAAACUCGGGCUAAUACCGGAUAUGUCCGGCGUUCACCAGAACGUCGAGCAAAGGAAGCUUCGGCCUCCGCAUUGGGAGGGGCCCGCGGCCCAUUAGCUUGUUGGUGGGGUGAUGGCCUACCAAGGCGGUGACGGGUA